Molecule: microRNA precursor, 126 nt
Organism: Brassica oleracea var. oleracea
Lineage: Eukaryota; Viridiplantae; Streptophyta; Magnoliopsida; Brassicales; Brassicaceae
Rfam family: MIR9563 microRNA precursor family
Source: Rfam
GAAAUAUAAGAAACCGUCUAUUAACUUUUAAUUAAAAAAAUUAAGAAUCGGCUCUUAAAUAAUAUAUUUAAGAGCCGAUUCUUAGUUUUUUUUAGUUAAAAGUUAAUAAACGAUUUUUUAUAUUUC